GUGGGGAAUCUUCCGCAAUGGACGAAAGUCUGACGGAGCAACGCCGCGUGAGUGAAGAAGGUUUUCGGAUCGUAAAGCUCUUUCGUUAGGGACGAACGUGCUCUUUGUGAAUAAUGAGGAGUAAUGACGGUACCUAAAUAAGAAGCCACGGCUAACUACGUGCCAGCAGCCGCGGUAAUACGUAGGUGGCAAGCGUUGUCCGGAAUUAUUGGGCGUAAAGCGCGCGCAGGCGGGAUAUCAAGUCUGUCUUAAAAGUGCGAGGCUCAACCUCGUGAGGGGACAGAAACUGGGAGUCUUGGGGGUCGGAGAGGAAAGUGGAAUUCCAAGUGUAGCGGUGAAAUGCGUAGAGAUUUGGAAGAACACCAGUGGCGAAGGCGACUUUCUGGACGAUGUCUGACGCUGAGGCGCGAAAGCUAGGGGAGCAAACAGGAUUAGAAACCCGAGUAGUCC
This 450-nucleotide ribosomal RNA is filed under the name uncultured bacterium. RNAcentral's name for it is "partial 16S ribosomal RNA". It matches the Rfam family "Bacterial small subunit ribosomal RNA", at positions 354 to 796 of the family's 1533-position model. The record is from RNAcentral.